This 408-nucleotide ribosomal RNA is filed under the name uncultured bacterium. RNAcentral's name for it is "partial 16S ribosomal RNA". It matches the Rfam family "Bacterial small subunit ribosomal RNA", at positions 28 to 526 of the family's 1533-position model. The record is from RNAcentral.
GACGAACGCUGACGGCGUGCUUAACACAUGCAAGUCGAAGGGAGUGGCGAACGGGUUAGUAACAAGUGAGUAACCUGCCCUUUUCUUUGGGAUAAGCCUGGGAAACUGGGUCUAAUACUGGAUGGAUUGGGAUGGGGUCGCGGCGUAGAAGCUGGUGUGUGGGGUGAGGGCUUACCAAGGCUUUGCUGGGUAGCCGGCAUGAUCGGGGGUUCGGGCACACUGGGACGGACAUACGGCCCAUACGCUUACGGGGGGCAGCAUUGGGGGAUAUUGCACAAUGGACGAAAGUGUGAUGCAGCGACGGCGUGUGGGGGAUGAAGGCCUUCGGGUUGUAAACGUCUUUCGCCAGCGGAAUGGUAGUGGGUAAAGAAGCGCCGGCUAACUACGUGCCAGCAGCCGCGGUAAUAC